AAACUAACAAAACCCCACAAAACUAGGAUCAGCACACCAUGAAGAUCAUUCACAAAAAUGUAUAAAUCUACUAAAAAUCAGCAUAACAUGGAUCAAUAGAAACACAAUAGCCAGAAACGGUAAAAUCUGACAUGCCUACUCAUGAGAAACAUACCAAAAGAAACAAGCCCACAUCUACGUGAUCCUUACUAAAAGAAACAAAAACAUUUACCAGAAACAAACAAACGUCUACAAUAAUACCACAAUUCACAAUUAAUUAUUCUCGUUAAGCUCCCAAACCCUACACCAGAAACCCUAAUGCCACCACAGCAAGACACAAAACUAACAAUAACACGAUCCAAAAGGCAUACAGACGAAAAAUCAAAGAAAAAACCUCUUCAAUAUCAUACUUUUUAAGUGGAAAACAAUCAUAAUUUUGAACCACUUAUUCAAACAAUCACAACAUAAGACUCAAGGACCCCACAACAUAAGACUCAAGGACCCCCCACACUUUUUAAGUGGAAAACAAUCAUAAUUUUGAACCACUUAUUCAAACAAUCACAACAUAAGACUCAAGGACCCCCCACAAAAAAAAAAAAACCGAUGCUUUAAAGAGAGGGACAUUACCUGAUAGUAAUCGAGAGAUGGCAAGAAUACCAACAGAAACUCG
This 649-nucleotide long non-coding RNA is filed under the name Citrus sinensis (sweet orange). Its description in RNAcentral is "long non-coding RNA (CSIN_LNC001962)". Lineage: Eukaryota; Viridiplantae; Streptophyta; Magnoliopsida; Sapindales; Rutaceae. The record is from RNAcentral.